GCUGGGUGUGGUGGCACAUGCCUGUAAUCCCAGCUACUUGGGAGGCUGAGACAGAAGAAUCGCUUGAACCUGGGAGGUGGAGGUUGCAGUGAGCCGAGAUUGCCCCACUGCACUCCAGCCUGGGUGACAGAGCGAGACUCUGUCUCAA
RNAcentral lists this non-coding RNA (148 nucleotides) under Pan paniscus (pygmy chimpanzee). Lineage: Eukaryota; Metazoa; Chordata; Mammalia; Primates; Hominidae. The record is from Rfam by way of RNAcentral. RNAcentral also lists the same sequence under 1 other name.